Tympanuchus pallidicinctus (lesser prairie-chicken) is the source of this 190-nucleotide long non-coding RNA. RefSeq lists it as uncharacterized. Lineage: Eukaryota; Metazoa; Chordata; Aves; Galliformes; Phasianidae. The transcript is spliced from 3 exons. The record is from RefSeq and is a predicted model, not a curated record.
CCUACUGGAGGUCUUCUAAGGCUGCCUCACGUACUUGGAAGAGUACAUGGAGCAAGAUAAGAAGCCUGGAGUGCUAAUAGUUCAUGUGAAAUUCAGCUCCCUGUUUGUCACACACCACAGCCUGGCUCUGGAAUGGAGCAUCCAGGGAGGCUGCCCAGCAGAAGCAGCUUUUCAGGAGCUACUCAGACAA